UUAAUGUCUGUAAUCAGCUGGGGUAGUUUCAUGGUGUUGAACAGCUGCUGUGUGUUUUAGAAACCAGCAGGUGUCUCUGUGUCUCUGUGUCUCUGUGUCUGAGCUUCAUAUGGCUUCUUUCAGACAUCACUAGGCAACAUGUGAAAAAUGGAGUGGAUUGUGAAGUGCAAAAGGUAAAAUAGUACACUACUUUGCAUACUAAGUAAGUAACUUAGUAAGUAUCUUACACACAUUUAAGAAAUCUAUAUUUCUGAUACAGAAACUUUGAAAACGGGUCAGAUUUGACUCGAAGACAACAAGAGGGUUAAGAGGAAGUUACAGUCAACCAUAGAGCUUUUAUUGUGAAAAGCGGAAGUGGAUAAAGUGUAGUGUUGUGGUUGAAUAAAGUGAGACGUGCAGUGCCGUCCUGGUUCCGACAUUGGACGCCCGUGUUUCUUUAUUUUAUAGUCAAACCUGAGUCUAGGAGAAACAGAAGAAACCCUCGGUUACAUUAGUAAACAAACAUAUGACCGGAAGUUGUUGGUACGACCCGUAAUAGCGUCCGUCCCCGGAACUAACGUUAACUGUUGUGUGUCACAUCACGGCGGAGUAAAAGGCGCCAGUGUUUAGUUUCUUAAGAAGAGAGAAAGGUCCCAAACUGCUGGAUGUGGUUUUAAAAGUUGAAACAAGCUCCACAGAGCAGGUCGGGGAGAAGAGGAGCAGAGCCGCGAGGAACUUUAACAUGAAGUCUGAGAGGAAGCUGUCAGCGGACCAGGGGACAGAUGUUCUGGAAGUUAUUGUUGGUGAAGAGGAGCAGCAGGAGUGUAGCUCCAGUGUGGACCAGCAGGAGGCAGAGCCCCCCACACACAUUAAAGAGGAACAGGAGGAACUGUGGAGC
Long non-coding RNA from Perca fluviatilis (European perch), 877 nucleotides. RefSeq lists it as uncharacterized. The transcript is spliced from 3 exons. Lineage: Eukaryota; Metazoa; Chordata; Actinopteri; Perciformes; Percidae. The record is from RefSeq and is a predicted model, not a curated record.